This 451-nucleotide ribosomal RNA is filed under the name uncultured bacterium. Its description in RNAcentral is "partial 16S ribosomal RNA". It matches the Rfam family "Bacterial small subunit ribosomal RNA", at positions 354 to 796 of the family's 1533-position model. The record is from RNAcentral.
GUGGGGAAUAUUGGACAAUGGGGGGAACCCUGAUCCAGCCAUGCCGCGUGUGUGAAGAAGGCCUUUUGGUUGUAAAGCACUUUAAGCGAGGAGGAGGCUACCGAGAUUAAUACUCUUGGAUAGUGGACGUUACUCGCAGAAUAAGCACCGGCUAACUCUGUGCCAGCAGCCGCGGUAAUACAGAGGGUGCGAGCGUUAAUCGGAUUUACUGGGCGUAAAGCGUGCGUAGGCGGCUUUUUAAGUCGGAUGUGAAAUCCCUGAGCUUAACUUAGGAAUUGCAUUCGAUACUGGGAAGCUAGAGUAUGGGAGAGGAUGGUAGAAUUCCAGGUGUAGCGGUGAAAUGCGUAGAGAUCUGGAGGAAUACCGAUGGCGAAGGCAGCCAUCUGGCCUAAUACUGACGCUGAGGUACGAAAGCAUGGGGAGCAAACAGGAUUAGAUACCCCUGUAGUCC